CACGUAGGGGGCAAGCGUUGUCCGGAUUUAUUGGGCGUAAAGAGCUCGUAGGUGGUUCGGUAAGUCGGGUGUUAAACCCCCAGGCUCAACCUGGGGACGCCACUCGAUACUGCUGUGACUAGAGUCCGGUAGGGGAGCGUGGAAUUCCUGGUGUAGCGGUGAAAUGCGCAGAUAUCAGGAGGAACGCCUGUGGUGUAGACGGCUCUCUGGACCAUUACUGACACUGAGGUACGAAAGCGUGGGUAGCAAACAGG
Molecule: ribosomal RNA, 254 nt
Filed under: uncultured bacterium
Lineage: Bacteria
Description: partial 16S ribosomal RNA
Rfam family: Bacterial small subunit ribosomal RNA
Source: RNAcentral